RNAcentral lists this ribosomal RNA (503 nucleotides) under uncultured bacterium. Its description in RNAcentral is "partial 16S ribosomal RNA". It matches the Rfam family "Bacterial small subunit ribosomal RNA", at positions 28 to 523 of the family's 1533-position model. The record is from RNAcentral.
GAUGAACGCUAGCGACAGGCCUAACACAUGCAAGUCGAGGGGCAGCACAUGAGUAGCAAUACGAUGGUGGCGACCGGCGCACGGGUGAGUAACACGUAUGCAACCUACCGGUAAAAGGGGGAUAGCCUCUCGAAAGAGAGAUUAAUACCGCAUAAUAUCUCUGGAUGGCAUCAUUUAGAGAUUAAACAUUUAUGGUUUACCGAUGGGCAUGCGUAUGAUUAGCUAGUAGGUGAGGUAACGGCUCACCUAGGCAACGAUCAUUAGGGGUUCUGAGAGGAAGGUCCCCCACACUGGUACUGAGACACGGACCAGACUCCUACGGGAGGCAGCAGCGAGGAAUAUUGGUCAAUGGGCGAGAGCCUGAACCAGCCAAGUCGCGUGAAGGAUGAAGGUUCUAUGGAUUGUAAACUUCUUUUGUAAGGGAAUAAAAAGAGCUACGUGUAGUUUAUUGUAUGUACUUUGCGAAUAAGGAUCGGCUAACUCCGUGCCAGCCGCCGCGGUAA